AGGUGGUGCAUGGUUGUCGUCAGCUCGUGUCGUGAGAUGUUGGGUUAAGUCCCGCAACGAGCGCAACCCUUGUGUUUUAGUGCAAACAGGUCAAGCUGUGCACUCUAGACAGACUGCCGUGGACAACACGGAGGAAGGUGGGGAUGACGUCAAAUCAUCAUGCCCCUAUGAUCUGGGCUACACACGUGCUACAAUGGCCGGUACAACGGGCAGCGAAGGAGCGAUCCGGAGCGAAUCCUAAAAAGCCGGUCCCAGUUCGGAUUGCAGGCUGAAACUCGCCUACAUGAAGUUGGAGUUGCUAGUAAUCGCGAAUCAGAAUGUCGCGGUGAAUGCGUUCCCGGGUCUU
This 346-nucleotide ribosomal RNA is filed under the name uncultured Fusibacter sp. Its description in RNAcentral is "bacterial SSU rRNA". It matches the Rfam family "Bacterial small subunit ribosomal RNA", at positions 1036 to 1382 of the family's 1533-position model. The record is from RNAcentral. Lineage: Bacteria; Bacillati; Bacillota; Clostridia; Eubacteriales; Fusibacteraceae.